GUUUUUCAUGAUAAAAGUUCACGGAAAAUUCCGAGUAAUAUCGAAAUAGUCAAUUGCGAACGUUCAAUUCGGUAUUCGAUCAUUGCAGCGUCUCGUAGGUAGAUCCUCCUUUUCCGAGGCAGCGGCAGUAUGGCCUGAGCAGCCGGAGCGACGUUGUCAUCGGGAGCGACAUCGAUGGUAGCGAGUACAUCCUUUGAGAAGAGAGAGGAGAAGCCAGCGAGGAGAGAGAGACACGUAUUUGGGUGAGGAUUAGCAAUGGAUUAGUACGCAGUUACUACAGCGCCAUAAAUUUUGUUGACAACGAGUCCGGUGUCCAGUUUUGAUCCAGCCGUGACUCGGGAAGUAGUGUUUCGUUUGAUCUACAUAUUUUAAAAAAGUGCUUGACAAUCGGUAGCUAGUGAAAAAACUAUAUCAGUGGAAAUUUCGUGAAUUCCGUAACUCGGAGAUUCUUCCAUAAGCACUGGUCUUCCGUCUUGGAUACAACGGCAGUUCAGCUUCAGCGGCAGAAGCGGCGACUUCAGGAGCGACAUCAGUAGCAACGCAGUCUCCUUAGAGCGACGAUGGAGAGAGGCAACGGUACUCGGAUAUGCUGUCGCCGCAGUUAUGACCCCCUGGACUUCUCCUGUUCAUCAGGGGGAGUCCAGGGACUCGUCCCCUGGGACUGCGCGGCCUCCCACC
This is a long non-coding RNA of Athalia rosae (coleseed sawfly), 678 nucleotides long. RefSeq lists it as uncharacterized. The record is from RefSeq and is a predicted model, not a curated record. The transcript has 3 exons. NCBI's taxonomy places the organism in Eukaryota, Metazoa, Arthropoda, Insecta, Hymenoptera, Athaliidae.